GUAAGGUAGUCACUAAGGUAGCCAUCCACAGAUACAGUUCAUCCUAAGGAUUCACCGUGCCACAUGCAUGUUUAACAUUAAAACAUAUUUAAUAAAAUCAUGCCAACAAAUAUUAUUUUAAUAGCUUAGUAUUCUAUGCACU
Molecule: long non-coding RNA, 142 nt
Organism: Sander lucioperca (pikeperch)
Lineage: Eukaryota; Metazoa; Chordata; Actinopteri; Perciformes; Percidae
Exons: 2
Source: RefSeq, a predicted model, not a curated record